AUAAUUUUGGCAGAGUGUAACAAAAUCAGCUCCAGUUUUAGCUUCUGUCUCCCCAUGGCGCUCUCGCCAUUUUCAUCCAAUCCUUCUUUUUCUUCUUCUUCUUCUUCUUCUUUUCUUCAUUCUUCAUCGUUAUCUUUCCACUUUAUUCUUCGCCAUUCUCAAAUCCCAUCUUCAAUCAUUUUCACACCUCAACGAUUCAAAAUUCACUGUUCUAACAACACAAUUCAAGUUGAAACCCAACCCCCUCGUCGUAUCCGAGUUGAUUUUGAAGUAAAGAAGAAGCGGAAACCCAGGCCUAGCUUCCUCGAACAAAUUCGCCACAAGUGGUCCACAAAACCCAUUUCCUCAACACAUACCUUCCCCUGGCAGCAGCAAGAACAAGAUAGACACCAUAAACAGGAUGAGGGAGAGGGGGAGGAAGAGGAAGAGGAAGAGGAAGAACAGGUUGCCAAUCAAACUUCUGUUUCAAUUCCCGAGUCAACAACUGAUGUAACUCAAGCGGUUCCUAUAACUCGCUCAAUCUCAGCCCCUUGGGCUCACGGGAGCCAAUCGAGGAACACCCAGUUUGAUUUCAAACCUAAAACGCCAAACGGUGAAGUGAUCAAUGAGAUAUCCAAGAUCUCUACUGAUGAUACUAGUAAUCGAAACGCAAGUACCAUCAGUAUUGAUGAAAUUUCAGAUGAUUCUUCGGAAGACGAGGCAGAAAUUGAUACUGUAGUUCUACCAGUUACUGAAAAACGUUCAACAUUAAGUAAAAAAAUUGUACAUUCGGUCAGUUCGGAUAAUGAUGACAAUGGUCGAGUUGAUUUGCCAUGGAAGAGAGAGCCGCGAAGGGAUUCUGAAGUUGACGCAGGUCAGAGAAGAAGUAAAACAUUAUUGGCUGAGCAAAUGCUUCCUGAGCAUGAACUGCGGAGGCUCAGGAACAUUUCUUUGAGAAUGGUGGAGAGAAUCGAAGUGGGGGUUAAAGGUAUAACUCAAGAACUGUUGGAUUCUAUACAUGAGAAGUGGAAAGUAGAUGAAGUUGUCAAGUUGAAAUUUGAAGGGCCUCUUACUGUCAACAUGAAGAGAGCACACGAGAAAUUAGAGAAUAGAACUGGCGGAUUGGUCAUAUGGAGGUCAGGUAGUUUGAUAGUAUUGUAUAGGGGAAUGACAUACCACCUCCCUUGUGUUCAAUCUUAUGCAAAGCAAAAUCAAGCUAAAAGUAAUACAUUGGAUGUUCCAAAUAAUGUAGAAUCUGAUGAUAUUACACGCAAUGAGAAGUUACAUACAACAGUUGGAACUAUGAGUACAAUUGUUUCAGGUGCUUCGAAGCAUACCAAGACGUUAUCUAAAAAGGAACUAAUGGAGUUGAGUGAUCUGAACCAUUUGUUAGAUGAGAUAGGUCCGCGUUUUAAAGAUUGGUCAGGGUGCGAGCCAGUGCCUGUUGAUGCAGACCUACUUCCUGGUAUAGUUCCGGGAUACAAACCUCCGACUAGAAUUCUGCCUUAUGGGGUAAGGCAUUGUCUCAGGAACAAGGAGGUGACGAUAUUUCGCAGGCUUGCAAGAAAAAUGCCUCCACAUUUUGCUUUAGGAAGGAAUCGGCAAUUACAAGGUUUGGCCAAUGCUAUGGUGAAGCUUUGGGAAAAAUGUGCAAUUGCAAAGAUUGCUAUAAAACGAGGUGUAGAAAAUACAAGAAAUGAGAGGAUGGCAGAAGAACUCAGGAUAUUGACAGGAGGAACACUACUCUCUAGAAACAAGGAAUACAUUGUUUUCUAUAGGGGCAAUGAUUACCUACCACCAACUAUCACAGAAGCAUUGAAAGAAAGGCGAAAGCUAGCAGAUCGUCAGCAAGAUGUUGAAGAGCAGGUACGACAGGUGGCUUCUGCUGCAAUUGAGUCGAAAGUGAAAGCUUCAAAUGCUCCGCUGGUUGCUGGAACACUUACAGAAACCAUUGCAGCAACUUCUCGCUGGGGAAGCCAACCAAGUGGUCAUGAUAUUGAAAAUAUGAGAGAAGAUUCAGCUUUAGCAAAACUUGAUUCUUUAAUUGAAUACCUUAAGAAGAAACUAGCUCUUGCAAAAUGCAAGGUCAAAAACGCAGAGAAGAUAAUAGCAAAAUUGCAGGAGAAGAAAGAACCAUCAGAUCUUCCCACUGAUUUGGAAACCAUAACAGAUGAGGAAAGACUUCUAUUCCGUAAGAUCGGUCUCAGUAUGAAACCAUAUCUACUCUUAGGUAGGAGAGGUGUUUAUGAUGGCACCGUUGAGAACAUGCACUUGCAUUGGAAGUUCAGAGAGUUAGUAAAGAUAAUUGUAAGAGGAAAAACUCUCCAACAAGUCAAACACGUUGCAAUCUCUCUGGAAGCAGAGAGCAACGGAGUGGUGAUUUCUUUGGAUAAAACUACUAAAGGUUACGAAGUUAUUGUUUAUCGUGGGAAGAAUUAUACCCGUCCUGAUGCAAUGAGGCCUAAAAACAUGUUGACAAGAAGACAGGCGUUGGCUCGAUCAAUUGAGCUACAAAGACGUGAGGCACUAAAGCACCAUAUUUUGGAUUUGGAGGAAAAGAUUGAGCUGCUCAAGGCUGAACUGGAAGAAAGGAAAAGUGGGAAAUGGCCCUUGAAAGGUUGACGCUUCUUAUCUGGUAGAAAUUAUGAAGUGUUGUCAUGUGUCCAGAUUUCAAGAUGACUUUGGAUCUCUUUGGCAGCAAUGCCAAUUGUAGAUUGAUUUGAAAUCCAGCAACUAGCCAUUAAGAGAAAGGUGACUUAUGGUUUGCAGCAGUGAAGUGCAAAUUUCCUUUCAUUUGGGAGCAAACCAACAACAUUUCAAGACAAAGAUCAUAAACCAGCAGCCUCAUUGAGCCAAAGCAUGUAGAAAUCAACCUUCUUGUGGAAAGUCUUGAAUAUGAUUUAUCACUUCACUUGUCUGCAGAGGUUGGGAGACUGAUGAGCUUUUAUAAGUCAAUGGCAUAGCGUAGUUUACCUUAUCUGUCUCUUUGUCCUGCUGAAGGGAUGUCUUGAUGAAGUCCAAAACUACUGUGGCCAAGUCUACUUGAUGUAAUUCUGCUGUAUAGUUGUGAUCUGCUCCUUCUAAAAUGUAUAAUUUGUGAUUAGAGAUGAUCUUAUCGAACUCUUUCGCAUCGUCAACAGGGAUUAUUCCAUCUUCAGUUCCAUGUACAGUCAACACUCUGUACACAUUAAUAUUCAUUCAUUCAUCAGUGAAGUAAUUUUUCUCCUAAAAUAUGAGAACCAAUACAUUUCUGUAUGAGAGAAUUGAGAUGGUUUGAUUUGCAAGGGGAAAACAAAUAUGGAUUUUGAUGAA
RNA transcript from Cucumis sativus (cucumber), 3291 nucleotides. It is a transcript of the gene named CRM-domain containing factor CFM3, chloroplastic/mitochondrial, with no coding region annotated. The transcript is spliced from 9 exons. The record is from RefSeq and is a predicted model, not a curated record. NCBI's taxonomy places the organism in Eukaryota, Viridiplantae, Streptophyta, Magnoliopsida, Cucurbitales, Cucurbitaceae.